Rosa chinensis is the source of this 179-nucleotide long non-coding RNA. RefSeq lists it as uncharacterized. The transcript is spliced from 3 exons. Lineage: Eukaryota; Viridiplantae; Streptophyta; Magnoliopsida; Rosales; Rosaceae. The record is from RefSeq and is a predicted model, not a curated record.
GAAGAAGAAGAAGAAGAAGAGGGAGACGGGAAGAAACUGAUCCUCAAUUGGAACAAAAAUUGAGUGAACUGAUCAUCCCAGGGGUAUUGUUAGUGCUCCAGUUUGGGGUUUGAGUGAUUGAUUGGAGGAGGUUGAAGGUCUGUUAGCAAAAACAAAUAGGUGAGAUUUCAUCUUUGUAU